RNAcentral lists this ribosomal RNA (553 nucleotides) under Morimotodes ismene. Its description in RNAcentral is "eukaryotic LSU rRNA". It matches the Rfam family "Eukaryotic large subunit ribosomal RNA", at positions 284 to 645 of the family's 3401-position model. The record is from RNAcentral. Lineage: Eukaryota; Metazoa; Arthropoda; Insecta; Coleoptera; Curculionidae.
AGCCCUAAGUGGGUGGUAAACUCCAUCUAAGGCUAAAUAUGAUCACGAGACCGAUAGCGAACAAGUACCGUGAGGGAAAGUUGAAAAGCACUUUGAAGAGAGAGUUCAAGAGUACGUGAAACCGUUUAGGGGUAAACCUGAGAAACCCGAAAGGUCGAAGGAAGAAAUUCAUUCGCGUCUCGCCGCAGGCGUGGGGCGGUCGUGCGACGGAAAGCGUUCGCGUUUUCCGCGCCUUCCGUCCUUCGAACCGGCGGCGAACGCGUGCACUUUUCUUCUGGUAGGACGUCGCGAUCCGUUGGGCGUCGGUCUACGGCUCGCGGUGGAGCCCGUUCGUACGUUCGCGUACGAGCGGACCCGCGUGUCCCGGCUGACUCGCUCGACGGUAUACGAAAGGUUUAAGGCCGCUCUCGGAGCGUUCGACUCGUGGCAAGCGCGCCAGAUGCGUCGGCGAUCGGACCCAGUGCCGAUUCUGACCUCUGGCGACUGUUGGCCGCGAAGUUCUCGGACAGACCUUAAGACCGAUCUGCGACGCUAUAGCUUUGGGUACUUUCAG